GACAAUCAAAACUGCUGAAAGGAUUGUCGGUACCCCCCUACCCAACCUUGAGGACUUGCACGCUGCCAGAACUAAGACAAGAGCUUGCAAAAUCCUCUCGGACCCUCCGCAUCCCGGUCACCAGCUCUUCCAGCUCCUUCCCUCAGAGACAACAUGGCUUGGUGGGUAACUCGGCACUAGUGAACCGGGCAGUGCCGACCGUCUAAAUUCCCCGGCUUCCUUCUACCGUGCCGCUGUCGUCGGGUGCCGUGUUCGCCUGUGACAUUAUGUCACCAACAAUGAGGGUAAGUUGACUUGUGUGCUUAUUGUUAUGAUUGUAGUCUACAAUGCCCAUUCAAUUUUGAAGUUAAGCCACUAACGUGAUUUUCCAUCAUAUAAACUAUAACCCCGCAUUAUUGGCACAGCCGUCACAGGACCCUUGAAUAACAAUAAUAAACAAAUAAACUAAACAAAAAAUGCUUAAUUCAAUAGAUUAGCCAUUUUUCGUGCAUUCAUGAAAAUACUAAAUUCUAAAUUUGUGUGACUUUUUCUCCUUUUACCUCUUGUUUUUCCAUCAGUACGCUUCCACUCUCUUCGUGCAUAUAAAGUAUCGUAUAUGUUUGUUGCUUGGCUCAAGCAAGAAGAGAAGCACAAAAAAGUACAAAUAGCCAAGCCAAAUAGCACUCAACGCGCCCGGCUGUCAAACUACUGAAGUUUGCAGACGACACCACUGACAUCGGCCUCAUCAAAGACGGUGGCGAGUCUGCAUAUCGACAGGAAGCGGAGUGGCCGGAGCUGCGGUGCGGCCGACGCAACCUGGAGCUGAACACGCUCAAGACUGUAGAGAUGAUCGUGGACUUCAGGAGGCCUCCUUCGCCAUAGCUGCCCCUCACGCUUUCCAACUGCCCUGUGUCAACCGUAGAGACCUUCAAGUUCCUGGGAAUUGAAGAGACCUGAAGAGGGCGAUCAACAUCAACUCCGUCCUCAAAAAGGCCCAGCAGAGGAUGUACUUCUGAGAAAGCACAGCCUGCCGCGGGAGCUGCUGAGGCAGUUCUACACAGCGGUCAUCGAAUCGGUCCUGUGUUCUUCCAUCACAGUCUGGUUUGUGCUGCUUCAAAAAAGGACAAACUCCGACUACAAUGGACAAUCAAAACUGCUGAAAAGACUGUCGGUACCCCCCUACCCACCCUUGAGGACUUGCACGCUGCCAGAACUAAGACAAGAGCGUGCAAAAUCCUCUCGGACCCUCCGCAUUCCGGUCUCCGGCUCUUCCGGAUCCUUCCCUCAGGAUCCUUGACAAAAGACUAUAAUUUUGGAUCUCGUUUGACUGAUGUGGUGCAUUGGAAGUCCAUGGGUUUGUGAUGUCUGACAAGAAGGAUCACCUCGUGAACAUGUAAACUGCUGCCUUGGCAUCUAGCCGCUGACUGGCAUGCGAGCAGCCAUGCAGUGUGUUUGUGUUCAGGUAGGUGUAUGUUGCAUUUUUCAUGACAGUGCUUGGUUUCAUUUUUAUACUUGUGCCGCAGUCCAUGUUAACAAAUGAGGUGUUUCUCCUAAGUCAAUAAACUGUCAAGGUUGGAGGUUGACCAUUGAGCAAAGUAAGCAGACUCGCAUACACAAACAAACAGGUGCGUUGAGAGAUUCCUUCAUUUAUUACAGAUACCCUUUGACCUUCCAAAUUUGAUUGCCAUCAAGAAAAAAUUGAACUGCGUAGGAGACAAAAGAUAGAUACAAAGAUACCACUGGAAGUCAGCUAUUUUCUCAGACGAUUCUUAAGAUUUUGGAAAAGACAUUUUUGAAGAUUGAUGCGAUGGUGGUUGAGUUGAUUAGUGCUCGUGUGCUUCUUUGAUGCAGACAAAGAAAUUUAGGUCAGUGCAUUGGUCAUCAUUCCAUGCCUC
Long non-coding RNA from Phyllopteryx taeniolatus (common seadragon), 1874 nucleotides. RefSeq lists it as uncharacterized. The record is from RefSeq and is a predicted model, not a curated record. Lineage: Eukaryota; Metazoa; Chordata; Actinopteri; Syngnathiformes; Syngnathidae. The transcript has 3 exons.